GUGUGUGUGUGUGUGUGUGUGACUAUAUUCGUGGGCUCCAAAAACCGAGAGUUCAGUAUACUUGAGGGGUCCCAACAGCUUUGUGGGGCCAAAAUGCUAGACCCCACAACUUUAAAGGGCUGUUUGAGGGUUAAGACUUGGUUUUAGGAUUAGGGUUAGAAUUAGGUUAUGGUUAGGGUGAGGGUAGGGGUUAAGGUUAGGCAUUUAGUUGUGAUGGUUAAGGAUAGGGUAAGGGGCUAGGGAGUGCAUAAUGUCAAUGACAGGUCCCCACAAAGA
Etheostoma cragini (Arkansas darter) is the source of this 276-nucleotide long non-coding RNA. RefSeq lists it as uncharacterized. The record is from RefSeq and is a predicted model, not a curated record. The transcript is spliced from 3 exons. NCBI's taxonomy places the organism in Eukaryota, Metazoa, Chordata, Actinopteri, Perciformes, Percidae.